GUCACAGUGACGAAGGGAAGAAGUACCCAGCCACAUCCCGUCUCCAGAGAGCUUUCGGUCGGUGCGAGAAAGCAGACGGCGGCAGGCGAAUACAUCCCGGAGCUGCCCCCUGAAAUGUGCGCGUCGCAUAGUAGGGGUGUGUCGGUUGCGCCCGUUAUCGCGCAGGGGCGUAUUGGCGCUCCGUAAGGCCGGUUUUGUGAGAAGCCGGUGAACCAGAGGUGGUACCGCGUUUGUUCGCCCUCUGU
This 245-nucleotide non-coding RNA is filed under the name Bacillota bacterium. RNAcentral's name for it is "Firmicutes bacterium T-box sequence". It matches the Rfam family "T-box leader". From Rfam's summary of the family: Uncharged tRNA acts as the effector for transcription antitermination of genes in the T-box leader family. T-boxes are found upstream of many aminoacyl-tRNA synthetase genes and some amino acid biosynthetic genes usually in Gram-positive bacteria. Lineage: Bacteria; Bacillati; Bacillota. The record is from RNAcentral.